CCUAGUGACAGGUGCUGCAUGGCUGUCGUCAGCUCGUGUCGUGAGAUGUUGGGUUAAGUCCCGCACGAGCGCAACCCUCGUCCUUAGUUGCCAUCAUUAAGUUGGGCACUUUAAGGAAACUGCCGGUGAUAAGCCGGAGGAAGGUGGGGAUGACGUCAAGUCCUCAUGGCCCUUACAGGCUGGGCUACACACGUGCUACAAUGGCAUCUACAGUGGGCAGCUAUUCCGUAAGGAUGCGCUAAUCUCCAAAAGAUGUCUCAGUUCGGAUUGUCCUCUGCAACUCGAGGGCAUGAAGGCGGAAUCGCUAGUAAUCGCGGAUCAGCAUGCCGCGGUGAAUACGUUCUCGGGCCUU
RNAcentral lists this ribosomal RNA (352 nucleotides) under uncultured Porphyrobacter sp. RNAcentral describes it as "bacterial SSU rRNA". It matches the Rfam family "Bacterial small subunit ribosomal RNA", at positions 1027 to 1382 of the family's 1533-position model. The record is from RNAcentral. Lineage: Bacteria; Pseudomonadati; Pseudomonadota; Alphaproteobacteria; Sphingomonadales; Erythrobacteraceae.